RNAcentral lists this ribosomal RNA (292 nucleotides) under uncultured bacterium. RNAcentral describes it as "partial 16S ribosomal RNA". It matches the Rfam family "Archaeal small subunit ribosomal RNA", at positions 455 to 747 of the family's 1478-position model. The record is from RNAcentral.
GUGCCAGCCGCCGCGGUAAUACCGGCAGCCCGAGUGAUGACCGAUCUUAUUGGGCCUAAAGCGUCCGUAGCUGGCUGUGUAAGUCCAUUGGGAAAUCCACGCGCUCAACGCGUGGGCGUCCGGUGGAAACUGCACGGCUUGGGGCCGAGAGACUCGACGGGUACGUCCGGGGUAGGAGUGAAAUCCUAUAAUCCUGGACGGACCACCAAUGGUGAAACCACGUCGAGAGACCGGACCCGACAGUGAGGGACGAAAGCCAGGGCCUCGAACCGGAUUAGAAACCCUAGAGUCC